RNAcentral lists this transfer RNA (30 nucleotides) under Timmia norvegica. RNAcentral's name for it is "partial tRNA-Ser". Lineage: Eukaryota; Viridiplantae; Streptophyta; Bryopsida; Timmiales; Timmiaceae. The record is from RNAcentral.
AGGAAAGAGAGGGAUUCGAACCCCUCGGUA